RNAcentral lists this ribosomal RNA (4726 nucleotides) under Triticum aestivum (bread wheat). RNAcentral's name for it is "partial small subunit ribosomal RNA". Lineage: Eukaryota; Viridiplantae; Streptophyta; Magnoliopsida; Poales; Poaceae. The record is from RNAcentral.
GAGAAACAGUCGCCCAACUCUGUGCCCUCGUUCGCCGCCGCCGCCCUUCGUCCCCUCACCACCACCGCUAGAUCCCUUCGCCGCCGCUCGGUGCCGCCAGCCCCCGACCUCCUCCCCGUCUCCCGGCGCCGCCCGCCCCCCAUCUGCUCCCCCGAUCCCGGCUAAGCCCGGCCCCCACCUUCUCUCUCACUCUCGGCGGCGAUCCUCGUGGUGUCCCCGGACCGAAGGCCGUCGAGGAUGUAGAGCGUCGGGAGCGCGGCGCCGACGAGGAAUCCCCCAUGAUGUGCGCGGCGAGGAGGAGGCGCUCGGGGCUGAGGAAGACGGGCGCGGACGGGUUGGGCUUCCUGGGCGCUGCGGGAAGGUGAGCCUGGCUAGGAGGAGUAGGUAGGGAAAGGACGGCGGCUCGCCGGCAGGUCACCGGCGCCGGGAGGCGGCGAGGUCGUCUCUCUCGCUCGCCUCUCCCCUUCUCCCCAUCUCGCAUCUCCUUCUUGCACCGUCGGUGCUGCCGUCCAGUACAGAUUACCUCCGCUGCUGAUUGGCGCCGCCACAGCACAACCGGAUUCGGCUCUUCCAUUCGUCUCUUCCCCUUUUCCAUGUCCACAGAUGCAUCGCUGUGCCACCCCAGCGCGCGGCCGCCCCGGCUAAGCCGCCUCUGUCUCCGAUGAUAACUCGACGCGGCGCUCUCCCCGUUUGGCUGCCCAAAUCCCUCUGCCUCGCUGUCACGGAAGUGGACGAUGACGCCUCCUUGAACCAACGCCGAGGAGGUCUAUGACGCAGGUUUGAAGGCGCCUGACAAGCCCAUCGUCGCGCCGCCGACCUGCUGAAAUUCGAGGUCGGCACCCGUGCGAACUCAGGUAACCUUGGUCGUGCUCGAUAGGUAUUGUCACAUCAUCUCAGUUUCUUCAUUUUAUCAAAAAAAAAAUCACAGUUUCUUCAGAUUGACAUGGUCAGCCAUGUACUAAAAAUGUGAUGUUGUUUCUGUAGUUAGCCUUUUAAAUAGCAAGUGGGGUGUGUGUGUUGCAUCUGAUGUGCGUGAGCUCAACCUGGCGAGCUCCUGGGAGAAGGAAAAAGGAGCCACAACAGCCCUGGCGAGCUCGAGAUGACGACGGUGCCAUAGGUGGUGUGGGAGAGGAGAUGGUCUCCAUCCAAGGUCCGAGGACCAGCCAUGACGUCGAGCUGCUGCAGCUUGGAGUCACGAGGGUAUUCGCACCCCGGCGUGUCCCACUACGUGCUUUGGAAGAGACACGCAUCAAUCUCAACAGACCCUGAUGCGUCCACAUUAUUUGUUUCUAAAACAAAUAGCAGCUCUCCGAUGUAGUAAGGAGAAACCAAGAAUGACAGAGCAUCCUCGUGUCAAACUCAACACACCCUGGCAUUUCUCCAUUGUUUGAUUCAGAAACAGGCAGAAACAACUGCUAUAUAUCUCUAAAUUUAUUUAAGGUUGUUUCUCUUAUUUCUAUUCUGAUGUGCAUGCAUCUUCCCUUGCUAUCUUCCAUACACAUAUGUGCUACAACCAUGCCAUUUUGUCCUGUAAGUGUAACAAAGUAGUCUUCAUGUGCGAAGAAGCAAAGGGCUUUUAUGAGGCUAUGCAAUCAUGCUACAUGUUAGUUGGAAGUCCAAUCUCGGCUUGAUUACCGCUCUUUAAGCAAAAUUACUAGUAAUAGAUCUUAUCCUAGAUGAUUCUUGCUUGAACGAUUUUAGAAGCACAACUAUCAGUAUGUGCACUUUAUAAAUGCAAGUCAGAAUGCAGAUGCUGAAAAAAUAUUUUGGAAAUUAUACAUUAUUCAGUCUCCCAGUUUGUGAUUUGCUUUUUGUUUAUGUUGUCCAGAAAUGUACAAAGGACUGACAUGUGUUAUCUAUAGCAUGUCCCCUUUGUCUGAAUGUUCAACUAGAAGAGUUACAUCUCAUUUGGCAAGGAGCACUGCAAUAAUACAUGCAACUCUUCACAGCUACUAGCAUGAAGUUGCACUCAGUCUCUCGCAUGGACUAAAGAGUUAUUGUCGGUAUGUAUCACUAUUUAAUUUUAACAGUCUAUAGGUUUAUUUAUAUGGCAAGUAUUGAUCUCAAGGACAAUAUUGCUGUAACUACUGUCACCCAUUCAAAAAUUUCUUUAGAGGAACUACAGGUAUUUUGCUGACCUGAGCAUUGAAAUAAUGAGUACAAAAGGUUCAGGGCAUAUGCGAAUGAUUGAAGUUUUAUAUUUGCGGACAAGGGAGAAACGCUUAAAAUUAGAAAGGCAGAGUAGAAUUUUAUACUCUGUUGUUGCAGUGUGGCUUUUGGGAAUCCUUAGCACGAUUAUCCCAGAGGUGAAGCUUAGACACCACUGUGGAUUUGUCUGGCUAUGAAUCAUGGUCAUGAAAUACGUUCAUGUUGUUCCCUUUCCAGAUGCUUUAGAACAGACAAGCGAUGAUGCUGGAAUAAGAGGUUCUCGAUUCCCUUUUAUGUCAUAGUUCAUACUACAACACACAUAUACUGCAGCCUCUUAAAUUAUAAAAUUAUUGUCUCUUAGAUUAUAAAAUUUCAUGAUAUCAAAUUGUACGUACUGCAAAAUUUCUCCUUUUUACUGCCUGCUUGAUUGUAUAGAUAGAAUAACUAGAUAAUGAUGCUCCAUGCAUUACUAGAGCUGUUGACAGCUUGUCCACCUAGAUUAUUUUACACUCCCUUCUUAGGAGAAUUUAGCUUAGAUAUUUAGGUGCAACGCAUGUACUGCGAAGCGAGAUAUUUAGUUUGUUUUUCUUGGGUAAACCAUACUCUCGACAUUCCAAAACCUCUACUACUAAAGGUACAAUUUGAUUAUAAAAAAACUAUGCAUGUGCUAAUAUUUUAUACAUUUAGGUUAUGCCAUGGUAGUACCAUAUGCACCAGAGUAAUUUAAAUUACAGUUUUUCUAUGAGCUGUACUAUUUUGCAAUAAUAGUACAGAAAUAGAUUGCAGGCAUCCAUGGCCGGAUUUGUGAUUUCUUAUUCAAAUAAGUUUUUUUUCUAAAACCAAUCUAUUAUUCAAGGAGUCUGAAUUCAUAUUAUAUUGUAUUACUAAAUAAUGCCUAACUGUAAAAUACCAGUAGCAGUUUUUCAAAAAAACAUGGGUUACUAAGAUAUUAUCAAUGUGUUUAUUCAAGCCAAAUACUGCAUGUCCAUGGUCCAUAGAGACUGCAUGUCCAUGGUCGCAGGGAUGAGGGUAGCCGGUCUGCUCUUCGAGCAUGCACUUAAGAUGGAGCUUAAAUCUCUGCACAUGUGGUGCCUUUUUCGGUAUGCUGGAAGAUUGGAUGAAAGCAGUACUGAUCCUUUAGGUAUUUCCAAAUUAUAGACGAUGGCACGUUGGGGCUCCAUACGCAUACAACAUUGUCGACUAUGGCCUGGAUGUGAGUUGUUUUCCGGACCAUCGAAGAUUGGACUGGAACUCUACAAUACAGUUUGCUUUUGAUAAUUAUUGCUGGUGGAUUCUAAGUUCUAACUCGAGACUAAAUUCACGUAUUCCCCACUUGGAAGAUGGAAAGAUGGGAUGCUCCAUGGAGUCCGCCGGCUUCCACCAUCUGUUAAUCACAAUCCUACUACCAACAACUCUUUCCUGUUUUAGUAGCUCUGUCCUUUUGAAGACCCCAGCAAAGACAAAGAGGAAAACUCAUGGUGAAACCUCAUCUUUCAUUGAUAUACUAAUUACGGACUCCCCAUAAAUUUCAAAUGUUAAUCAAAGUAAAUAAGACCAGCCGUCCAUCGUGCAGGAUCCAAGUUCUAAGGUACGUACAGAUUAUUCCUAUUGCCUGCCAAAGAAACUGUUCUUUCUCUAUUUAUCAUCUCCUUAUAAUAGUUCUUUUGAUCUUCCCUGUCUUUUUUCACUACAAAAAGUCGUGCAUCUUCCCCAUCUUUUUUUUGUUCCAACCAACCUCCAAGUCCAUAGUUUUCGUCAACAUGAUAUACUUUUAUUGGAUCCGUGUGCCUAAGGAAUGGUAAGCCUGGAGGAUGUUGUUGAGGCAUGACUUGGUCAGAGAGUCUGCCGGAGCUAAGAAGCAGAGGUACUUCUUACCAAGCUAAACCUGUGAAGGAUGUCACCUCCACCGUCUGGCACCACGCCGUCAUCUCCACCCAAGAGUCCAGGCAGUUUCACUUGCAAGCACACGCUGCUGAGCCCUGUGACGUCGCUGGACCUUCCGGGCUCCCCUGCCCAGCCGGCAAAAAAGAUCAGGCGCCCUGGCGUUGCACCCGCUGGAAUAUGGAAGAUGAAGAUCUCGCAACUGACAGAGCAGACCAAGCAAGACAAUCUCGCUGUCCUGGAGAUCCCAGCCUGAGCAGGUCGAGUCGGCUGCUCUGUAAUAGGUGUGGCUGACAAAGACGGGGGGCGAUUUGUGCACGCGAAAGUCCCUUAAAAUCGAGACAAAUCCUUCGUUGGAACCAUCUCGGUGUUCUUCGCCAGCUUCGUUGCAUCGAGCCUGUGUAUAUACUAUUGGAUCUUGAAGCCCAAAGUCAUUUUCUAUUCCCAUGAUUAUUUAGCAAAUUUAAAAAACAUUGUCGAUUAUAUUAUAUGUAUAUUGUUGGGUAGUAGUUUUUCCCACUAGAUCUGAAUAUUAGGAAGGAUAUAUCUUGUAGCUGGUCAGAUUCAAAAUCAUGUCAUAAUUUCUUUUCUUAAGGGCCUAAUGAUUGUUGUUGUUGUUUCCUUUCAAAAAUUGAAACUCCUUGGUGAUUAUUGUAACUAUCAUAAUUGUACUAGCAAGAUUAUCAGAAUAACUAAG